RNAcentral lists this ribosomal RNA (440 nucleotides) under uncultured bacterium. Its description in RNAcentral is "partial 16S ribosomal RNA". It matches the Rfam family "Bacterial small subunit ribosomal RNA", at positions 338 to 795 of the family's 1533-position model. The record is from RNAcentral.
CCUACGGGGGGCAGCAGUGGGGAAUAUUGCACAAUGGGGGAAACCCUGAUGCAGCGACGCCGCGUGAAGGAAGAAGUAUUUCGGUAUGUAAACUUCUAUCAGCAGGGAAGAAAAUGACGGUACCUGACUAAGAAGCCCCGGCUAACUACGUGCCAGCAGCCGCGGUAAUACGUAGGGGGCAAGCGUUAUCCGGAUUUACUGGGUGUAAAGGGAGCGUAGUCGGGUUAGCAAGUCAGAAGUGAAAGCCCGGGGCUCAACCCCGGGACUGCUUUUGAAACUGUUGGACGAGAUUGCAGGAGAGGUAAGUGGAAUUCCUAGUGUAGCGGUGAAAUGCGUAGAUAUUAGGAGGAACACCAGUGGCGAAGGCGGCUUGCUGGACUGUAAAUGACGCUGAGGCUCGAAAGCGUGGGGAGCAAACAGGAUUAGAUACCCCUGUAGUC